UACGGAGGGUGCAAGCGUUAUCCGGAUUCACUGGGUUUAAAGGGUGCGUAGGUGGGUUGGUAAGUCAGUGGUGAAAUCUCCGAGCUUAACUUGGAAACUGCCAUUGAUACUAUCAAUCUUGAAUAUUGUGGAGGUCAGCGGAAUAUGUCAUGUAGCGGUGAAAUGCUUAGAUAUGACAUAGAACACCAAUUGCGAAGGCAGCUCACUAAACUGUAACUGACGCUGAGGCACGAAAGCGUGGGGAUCAAACAGG
This 253-nucleotide ribosomal RNA is filed under the name uncultured bacterium. Its description in RNAcentral is "partial 16S ribosomal RNA". It matches the Rfam family "Bacterial small subunit ribosomal RNA", at positions 524 to 776 of the family's 1533-position model. The record is from RNAcentral.